This 483-nucleotide ribosomal RNA is filed under the name uncultured bacterium. RNAcentral's name for it is "bacterial SSU rRNA". It matches the Rfam family "Bacterial small subunit ribosomal RNA", at positions 30 to 507 of the family's 1533-position model. The record is from RNAcentral.
AUUGAACGCUGGCGGCAGGCCUAACACAUGCAAGUCGAGCGGUAGAGAGGUGCUGCAUCUCUUGAGAGCGGCGGACGGGUGAGUAAUGCCUAGGAAUCUGCCUAGUGGUGGGGGAUAACGUUCGGAAACGGACGCUAAUACCGCAUACGUCCUACGGGAGAAAGCGGGGGAUCUUCGGACCUCGCGCCAUUAGAUGAGCCUAGGUCGGAUUAGCUAGUUGGUGAGGUAAUGGCUCACCAAGGCGACGAUCCGUAACUGGUCUGAGAGGAUGAUCAGUCACACUGGAACUGAGACACGGUCCAGACUCCUACGGGAGGCAGCAGUGGGGAAUAUUGGACAAUGGGCGAAAGCCUGAUCCAGCCAUGCCGCGUGUGUGAAGAAGGUCUUCGGAUUGUAAAGCACUUUAAGUUGGGAGGAAGGGUAGUAACCUAAUACGUUGCUACUUUGACGUUACCGACAGAAUAAGCACCGGCUAACUUCGUG